UUAGCGUCUUACUGUACGCUGUUUGGCCAUGGAGAACAACGCAUCCCAGCUGCCACACGUUAACAGCCGAAUCAAAACGAAAAUAUCCGAGCAGCUAAGGAUUGAAACGAAGUCCGAAAAGAAAACGACAGCAAGAUCAGUGGGUUGCUGUCAUGUGACAGCCACACACAAAAAACGGAAAUGCAUCAUAGAGUGAGAGCAAGCCAUGUGGGAUUCUUGCUCCUGAUAUCCUGAUGAUACUGUCCUGUAUGACUCCAACAGAACACUCACAGAAAGGAGAGCAGUGUCAUACUACAAGAUAACUAGCAACAAACCCUUGUUUGUCCUUGUUUGGCUACUCAUUUGUCUACUUCCUGAAGAGGAGCAUGCUAGCCUCGACACCUCAGUUCUUGCUUCCAUUAACAGCUGUGUUAUGGAGCGCAUCCUCACAUCAUGGUCUACUGCAGCAGGUGGAUACGGAAGACAAUUGGUCCAAACCAUCUUGAAGCCUUUUGGACAGAGGAGCGGAUGACCGAGCUGGUUAACCUCUACAUAAAUAGACACAUGUCAAGUGGGUUUAUCAAGGCCCAAAUAUGCUGAGGAAUACAGGCUGCCUUGGUGGCCUAAGGAGUCAUGUCAAUGAUCAGCUGUUUGUUGAGGCAGCAGCAGCAGGAGCAGCACCAACAACAGAAGCAGCAGCAGCAGCAGGAGCAGCACCACCAGCACUAUAAACGCCAUCAGCAGCAGCGGCAGAUUAUAAAGAAGGAUAACAAUGAAUACAUGAAAUCAGAGUGGGAAGUUGUGCUUUUAUGUUUCAUAUAUACUGUAUAAAUAUAUGCACCUUACUUGAGUGUCUCUACAAUUUACUUAUACUGCAAUGCAAUUAAAAUAAAGGCAUUAAUUUAAUUCAUUUGUCAUUUCAGUUUUUAUUCUUACAUUCAUUUCACCUGGGUGCCAGCCAAA
Molecule: long non-coding RNA, 942 nt
Organism: Sardina pilchardus (European sardine)
Lineage: Eukaryota; Metazoa; Chordata; Actinopteri; Clupeiformes; Clupeidae
Exons: 5
Source: RefSeq, a predicted model, not a curated record